This is a long non-coding RNA of Archocentrus centrarchus (flier cichlid), 3490 nucleotides long. RefSeq lists it as uncharacterized. The record is from RefSeq and is a predicted model, not a curated record. Lineage: Eukaryota; Metazoa; Chordata; Actinopteri; Cichliformes; Cichlidae. The transcript is spliced from 3 exons.
GAGACUUCAACGCGAAUCUCGGCAGUAUCGAGCCGAACCAUUGAUUGUUAAACAUUCUAGUGAAUUUAAUAUUUUUCGCCAGCUUAGUUACAGACAACUUUAAAGGCUAUAAAAUUGAUAUUAGCUAGAUAGUCACUAACUGAAGCGCACUGGAGGACGGCAAGAGGACCUGGACAGUCUGCGGAUUUAUAUUGACGAGUGUUUCGAGCGAGUUGUCAUGGGUAAACCAGACAAGACCCGACCUUCUCCGGCAACAAAGGAGCUCCGUUCACCAAGAAGAGUUGCCCAGAAGAUUCCCCAGAGGCAGCUUCUCCACGUACCAGCGAUAUGGUGGAUAUUUUGGAGUCCAUAGACAAGGAACUGUCCAGUUUUGACACUCGCCUUUCCAUUCUGGAAAUUCUCCAGAGUUUCAGCUUCUCCGUGAGUCUGUGGAGUUUAGCCAGCAGCAGGUGGAAACACUUGCUGCAGAAAACGCAGUACUCCGAGAAUGGUGAAUUCCCUCACCGAGGGAAUGACCCGGCUCUCGGAAGAAAAUUUUUAAAAAUCAAAGAAACCGUCAUCGCGCUCCAGCCCCGCUGGAGAAGGCUGAAGAAGACCCGGAAACAGUAGUGAAGGGAUUUAUUCAAACCCACCUAGAGCGCCCGGAGGACAGUAAAGACCAUCACCCUUAAUCGUGUUCACCGCACAGGAGCCAAGCGACCCGCAGGACACAGACCCAGAAGACCGAUCGUGGCCAAAUUCAAACGCGGCCGAGAGGAACGGACUUAAGUGUUAAUUAGAUUCUGGAGCUACGCAGGGUCCUGUUCCCGAUCCGGAAAAAAUACAGUCUCCCGAGCUGUCAUCGCGGUGGAUAAACUUGACGUGAACGCAGUAGCGCAAAAAGGGGGUGCUGUAUGCAUUAUAUGCAGUGGUGGACAGUAACGAAGUACACAUACUUCGUUACUGUACUUAAGUAGAUUUUCAGUGCGGGAGCCGGCUUUUGAUUGCGAGCGGUUUUUCUUGGAAGUCGCAACAACAGGGAGGGAACAGACACCCCACACGGUAGAGGGAGAGGCUCCUGCAACGCUCGCUGGGAGACCGGAAAGAGCCAGAGGAAGCUGCGCUUUACAUGGAGGCUGCACAACGGAACGGGUGAAAGGAGUUCCAGGAGGGCAGGCAGGGAAGAAAAGGACUGGUGGCGAAGAGCUGGUCAGUGUUUGCAGGAGAGAAGGACAAAUUCCACAGAGACAGGUAGGUAAUCCACCCUUGAGCCAGGUGAGAGAGAACUGGAAAGAGGAAAGCAAAGACAUUAGUGCAGCGAAGAACAAACCACGAGGGAAGAACAUUUGGAGAGCCGAUUUACCACUAAACGGUAGCAGACUAUCUGGCAAUUGGACUGGGGGCUCCAACUAGUCCUUAAGUACUUGUUGCUGAUUGCAGCUGGAUGAGAAGCGGGUAUGCCUGGCUGCUAAGCAGGAACUCGAAAGGCCCACCUGUCCCACAACCUGGACUUAAGGAAGUGACAGACUCCAAAACACAGCCAGCAAAGACUAUGACAAAUAAUUUGUGUUGUUUAAUAGUUUUUGUUUUCUGCUUUUAGAUACAGGGUGAAAAGCUCAUAUUAUCUCAUAUUUAUGCCAAAUUACUGAGUAUUCCUAAAGAUUCACACGUUUUUAAACCUAUGUAUAAUUUACUAGUUAAAAGUGAUAAACCACAAAUGCUGUUGAAGCCUUACAUAUAACCUUUUGAAACGUCAUUAUAGUUUCAUAAUUUACUGAUUGAGAAUGGUAUCAGUCGGACAAAAUUCAGGCAAGUUACAGAACUUUGUGCUGCAGUAUUAUCAGAGCACAGCCUCUAUUCCUUUAGAUUAAUGUGAAAAUUAAAAGCCAGUGACUAACAGAACAAAAAUAAAAUAAAUAAUGCAUUAUUAAGUAUAAAUUCAGUUCAAAAAGCAACAUAAUGGGUAAAACACACGCCUGGACCAGAUGUUAUCAUAAGAAAACCAAAUAUUUCAGAGGAAUAAUUCACCACAUCGAGGAAAUAUCAUUACCAAGGGAGUCCUACACAUAGCUCUUGUGGAUAAGCGAUGUGCUGUGAAUUAUUAUCAUAACAAAUAUGCCUUUCCACCCACAGAGACUAGAGUUAUUUUGCCCCCUCUCAUCUUCUGUUCACACAUAGACAAACACUUCUCUGUAGCUGUGAUAUGGGGUUAAGUGCUUUAUGUGCUCCAUGGUUGGGCCAUGUACCAAUUUAUUUAACUUUUUUAUUUUAUUUUUUGAAGUAGAUAUGGCAAGAGUGCAAACCAAAUAAAUUAAAUUGCAACUGUAGAGUUGGGAAAUAGGACUUAGUCUUUCUGUUUUUACAGAGUUAUUAAAGGCUUUUAAUCUGUAAAUGUACAGUUCAUCUAAAUGUGUAUCAGAGUUAGAAGAAAUUGUAUGUUUAGAAACUGAUGUGAAGUUAGCAAAAAACUUUACGAACUUUCACUAAAAAAAACAGUUGGUGGUUGGUGCAUCAUUUUCUUGGUUCAUAAACUAUAUAUCAGUGAGCUUUACAGUUGAGAAUGCAUGAUUUAGGAAACAUAAAUAUUUACAAGCAUACAUCAAACGAUAUGGCUGGAAAAUCAUUUUAGGUCAGUGUAGCCUUUUUCUUUUUUUUUGUAAAUGCACACACGUAUCUACCAUACUCAUUAAAAGCUAUCAAUAAUGAUCAUUUAAAUUCUAUUUAAAAGUAGUUAUAUCCAUAUGGGAGGAUAUCUUCCCAAAUUACAACCAUAACCCACCAUCCCUAGGGUAUUAAGUCAUUAAAUGGUUGGGUGAGCGUAAAACUUAUCUAAAUACCAGCCACCUUGGAGUUGCUUGAACACUAUUCUCAUGGGAGUUUGAAGUGGGAUUUGUGACAGUGUACUCUGUCUUUACAACAAAUAGUACAAUCUGCCAUAAGAGCAUGCAGUAACCUUGAAUGACAUGAAGCCUUGGAUAAAUAAGACAGCUGGUCACAUUAGUAAUCAAGCAGUACAUUUUGAACGCAGACUGGGUGAUGAGUUAAAAUGUCCAAACCAGCCAUGGUUAGUCCAACAACUGUUAACAUACUGGUAACAUGUCCGUGAAAAGAAACUAGCAACAUACGCCUAGCUUUCCUAGUAUGCUCUGGGAUAACUUAUUACAUUGGAAAGUUGCCAGACAUGGAAAGGGAGACUUUCAAUUUGGUGUUUUCUUCUAGAGUAGUACCCAUCGCCCAUGGUCUCCAUGGCACUGCAGUCAUUAGUUAUUCUUGUAAGAACCUCCAUCAUUAUUGGAGGCACCACCAUCUUGCACUGUCUGGCUAUUAACAGGUAAUUACUUACCAAGUGAAAUUCUCAAUAAGUCAGAAAAAAAUGCAUAUUGGUGAUGGCUGAUAUUUUCAUCCAAUUACAAACCUAAAGCUAUUAACAAGCAACAUUAGCUAUGAGCAAUGAUGCUGCCAUUUCUGUAAAUUAUGUCACAAAGAUGGUACAAUAUGCAAACAAUGCAAC